This 88-nucleotide unclassified non-coding RNA is filed under the name Algibacter lectus. RNAcentral's name for it is "Flavo-1 RNA". Lineage: Bacteria; Pseudomonadati; Bacteroidota; Flavobacteriia; Flavobacteriales; Flavobacteriaceae. The record is from RNAcentral.
UAUGCGCAAGGGAUAGCAGUGUAAAGCCCACAGUAAGUCCGAUGAGAAUCGGGCUUACGAGGACUUGCAACGUAUAGCCCGACCCGAU